GUGCUACUGGGAGGAAGAAAAGCACAUCAUUUUCAGGGGAGCGACUCUCCGCUCACAUCUUGCUCCUGCUUAAAAUAGAAGCAGGAAGUUAAAACUCCAGACGGAUGGGGUGCCAGGGAAGUGAGAGGGAGUUGGAACAUUCCUGUUUUUGCCUAGAGAAGAUGCUCAUAUCACCCAGGAAGGAGAUCUGGGAUGGCACAAUGUGUAUUUAGACAGCAGUUACACAAAGUUGCAAGUCAGGAAGAAAAGCAAGAAUGUAACAAGACAUGGAUUUAAAAGCCUCCUGAUGGAGGCAAAGUUCCAGGUUGAAUAAGAAACAAAUAAUCCAGCGGCUCAGAUUUCAUCUUGGGGAUUUCAACAAUCACAGCCACAAGGAUUUCCCAGGUUACAGCUCUUCUUGGAAAAAUUACCCUGGAGAGAAAACAGAAAACUGGAUAAAAAGAACCCCCACAAGAAGGGACAGUCCUGACUGCGGCAGAAAUUUCUUCUGGAGAGAAAAAAGCCACCUUUGUGAGCCACAGAGAUUCAAAGCUGGCCAGGCGGGAGCCACCCUAAGGUUUUUGGGCAGAUCCCUCCACCUGUUAUAUCUUCAACUAGGAAAACCUUCUGAGAAUCAAAAGGGGUCCUGUGUCCUGAUAUCACAGUGACCAAUUUCUUUGAGACGGCUACAAGCUUCCAUAGAAAAGACUGGCUGACUGACUGCCUUCUAGCAAAUUCUAGUAUGGAGUAAGGAGAGAGGAUGCAACCACAUUACUCCGUGGGCUUCCAUUCACCCUCCUGGGGACCCCGUGAGAGAAAGUCGGUGGAUUAAAGGAGAGCUGACAAGCACCUGAGCAGGUUAGCCCCAAGGGUUCCACUCUGCUCACGACAGAAGAACUUCCCAGCCCCUCCAAGACUGCCAACAAAAGGGCAGAGCCUGAGCUGCUUGGGUCCCAUUACUGAGAUGGUGCUGUCGCCAUCUGCAUCCCUCCAGGCACGAAGGGUUUUCCCAGCAGAUCUUUUGGUUUCUGGAAAAGUUUACUCAAACUCUACUCUACCUUCUGUAAAAUAAAAUGAACAUCUCUUCAUAGUUUAACAUUCAAAAAGGGAAAAUCAGACUCUGGUGAAACUGGCUUGCACUAACUAAAUUCACAAGAGCCUGGUUGAUAAACCAGAUUGUCAGUUAACUAUUUUGGAGUGGAAAAAAAUGGAGAUAUUAAGGAGUCUGAAACAUUCAUCUUCUCAGCACCUCUCACAAUGUCUGGCAGAGAACAAGUGCUGGGAGACAAUUCUCCAUGGGCUUCUCACACUCUACACACCUUUCGAGUAGCGUCAUUGACUGCCUUUGUUCUGGACUGCUUUUCAAGGAUGUUUGUAUAAGAAAGUGCUUUGGAAGAGUGAGGAGGUGUCUCCCUCAGGAGCAAUGAGCAGGCGUGCUUACUGUUCAGUAUAAAAGAUUCCAUAAGCUCGGAGUUCCUCUCAAAUGCUGACACUGCCUGCUGCUACUGUGAGGUGGCUGUGUUUUUCUGUCGGUUUUAGAAUGCCUGACAAAUCUGAGCCUGGAAACCCUUUACCGAAAGGAGGUGAUCCAGUCUUUCUACAUGGCAGAUGGCCAAGCUGCCGCCUGUUACCUCCUGUUAAUAGUGACUCCAAGAGUCUGGCAGAGAGCUGGUGCCAGCAUGUGUGCAACAAACAGCCAUAGAAAUGAUGCUCCUUUUUCUUCUUGGAAAAAAUGAGCAAGCUGCUAAAAACAUACUGAGUUUGGUUCCUGGGACACUUCCUGAAAGGAGAGAUGGCUUGAGAUGGAGAGUGAAUGGAAGGAGGCACGUCUGCAUGGAAGAAUUAGCCAAGGACAAGAUCUUACUUCAAAGAAGACGUUCUGCAUUGAGCCUGAAAACAGCGUUUAUCUUUAUGUGGAAAACCAUGCCCUGUGCUAACCUUUCUGUGUCUUCUCAACCAUCGCCCGUGAAGAAUGAUUCCACCAGUGCCGACUGAAUUUGUGAGCGUUUGUGAUGCAACAGAAGUGGAGACAAGACAGGAGUGUGUUUGCUCUUACUGGAAUAGGCUGAAUUUCACUUCCAGAAGAGGAAAAGCUAAAAGUAUAAGGAAAGGCAAGAGCCAAAGAAGUCUCAGAGAGAGAGUUUUGCUGGGGGUGUGGACGGAGGAGUGGUGAGAGGUGAGACCCUCAGGGCCCUGCAAGGCGGGCUGUGGUUCCAAGGCCAGGUGGAGACUGGAUUUCAAGAAGUGUUGCCACAGGCUGUGUACUGAUUCCUUUGCCAGACUCUAGUAAGGAGCUUUUAAAUGUUAGAUUUUAUUUAAUUUUUGAAUAGAUUAUACAUUCACAUGGUUCAAAUCUUUAAAUGUACUGAGAGGUUUAUCAGGAAAAAGUCUCGCCAGCGCUCCAGGCCCCAGCCACCCACCUCUCAUCCAUGGAGGCCACCACAUUACCAGCUGCCUGUCUAUCUUCCGGAGGCGUUUUAUGCACAUACAAGCAGAUAGACAUUUGUAUUACGUAUUCACCCCACUCAGUUUUUAUACAGGUGGCAUCAUCCUACACAGAUUCUUCUACACGCUGCUUUACUGUCCUGUCAAUAUCUGCGAUGUUGUUUCAUUUGAUUAGAUAAAUGAUUCCCCAUUCUUUUUUUGCAGCUGCAGAGUAUUGCAGCGUAGCAACGUACAAAUAUUUUUUAGCUAGUCCACCCUUUUGGCUGCUUCCAAUCGCUUUUAUAUACAUGACACCAUGAAUUACCCUAAUCUUAACUUCUUUGGUACGGUGCACACCUUUGGCAGUCCGCUAAAACCUAUGAAUUUCUUCUCACCAUAAUGUUUUCAAGAGUAUAAAAUAAAAUCCUUAGGAUUAAAAGGAAAUCAAUUAUACUGAAAUAUAGUUAUCAAAAUAUUUUUUAUUUAGAAAUAUAUGUGCAGGCCCAGUGGUGCAGCGGUUAAGUUCGCUCGUUCUGCUUCGGCGGCCUGGGGUUCGCCAGUUCGGAUCCUGGGUGCGGACAUGGCACCACUUGGCAUGCCAUGCUGUGGUAGGCGUCCCACAUAUAAAGUAGAGGAAGAUAGGCAUGAAUGUUAGCUCAGGGCCAGUCUUCCUCAGUGAAAAGAGGAGGAUUGGCAGCAGUUAGCUCAGGGCUAAUCUUCCUCAAAUAAAAAAAAAAGAAGAAGAAGAAAUAUAUGUGCUUAUUCAUUAAUGAAUUAAAUCACAAGAUCUGGCAUGGGUCUAAUAACUACUGUAAUUUCAAAGUAUGCACGAACAUAAAUGAUAUUUUAGAAUAUCUGCAACAACUGUAAGAUGACAUAAAAGAUCAGAUUUUUACCAGUAACAAAGGCACAGGCUGAUACUAUUGUGGUUUCCUGCCUACUAAUUAAAGGAAAUGAUCAAUUUCAGUUAGAAUUUAGUGAAAACAAAAACACAAUUUUUUUCUCAUCCAAGUUGAUGAAUCUCCAAACUGUUUCUGUGCAGCCUCAUUAAGAAGCCUGCCUUACACAUACUUCAUUUUUUAAACAUUCGAGUAUGUUUGUAUAUAUUUGUAAAUUCCAGGAAGUGUUUUGCAUUAGCAAGUGCUAAUACAUUUGUAACUGAAUGCGUUUUGUCAAAUUGCCAGAAAUAGUCAUUCCGCCGGCUUUGAAUGAGGGUGUGUCAGGGAGCACUGUAAUCUUUGCCAAUCCAAGAGAUGAAAAGUAGUAUCUUGGUGUAGUUUUAUUUUGCAUUUGUCUCAUUAGAAGCAAAGUUCAGC
Long non-coding RNA from Equus caballus (horse), 3719 nucleotides. NCBI's taxonomy places the organism in Eukaryota, Metazoa, Chordata, Mammalia, Perissodactyla, Equidae. The record is from Ensembl.